Molecule: transfer RNA, 76 nt
Filed under: Deltaproteobacteria bacterium
Lineage: Bacteria; Pseudomonadati; Myxococcota; Myxococcia
Description: tRNA-Arg
Rfam family: tRNA
About the family: Transfer RNA (tRNA) molecules are approximately 80 nucleotides in length. Their secondary structure includes four short double-helical elements and three loops (D, anti-codon, and T loops).
Source: RNAcentral
GGGCGGCUAGCUCAGUGGAUAGAGCGUUGGUCUCCGGAACCAAAGGUCCCGGGUUCGAUCCCCGGGUCGCCCACCA